Molecule: ribosomal RNA, 494 nt
Filed under: uncultured bacterium
Lineage: Bacteria
Description: partial 16S ribosomal RNA
Rfam family: Bacterial small subunit ribosomal RNA
Source: RNAcentral
GACGAACGCUGGCGGCGUGCUUAACACAUGCAAGUCGAACGGAAAGGCCUGCUUUCCCUUGUGGAUUGCGGGUGCUCGAGUGGCGAACGGGUGAGUAACACGUGAGUGAUCUGCCCCCAACUUGGGUAUAAGCCUGGGAAACUGGGUCUAAUUCCCGAUAGGACUGCAGGGUGGUGCCUGUGGUGGAAAACGAUUUUCUAGUGGUUGGGGAUGAGCUCGCGGCCUAUCAGCUUGUUGGUGGGGUAAUGGCCUACCAAGGCGGCGACGGGUAGCCGGCCUGAGAGGGUGGACGGCCACAUUGGGACUGAGAUACGGCCCAGACUCCUACGGGAGGCAGCAGUGGGGAAUAUUGCACAAUGGGCGGAAGCCUGAUGCAGCGACGCCGCGUGGGGGAUGACGGCCUUCGGGUUGUAAACCCCUUUCGACCGCGAGGAAGCCACCUGGUUGGAAGGGUGGUGACGGUAGUGGUAGAAGAAGCACCGGCUAACUACGUG